This 57-nucleotide small RNA is filed under the name Plasmodium falciparum 3D7. Its description in RNAcentral is "Pfa-starR7297". The record is from RNAcentral. Lineage: Eukaryota; Apicomplexa; Aconoidasida; Haemosporida; Plasmodiidae.
CAUGAGCUACUGAAUUUAAGACCUAUGUUAGUUAAUCUAGGACCUAAGAUAGUUAAG